Colobus angolensis palliatus is the source of this 107-nucleotide small nuclear RNA. NCBI's taxonomy places the organism in Eukaryota, Metazoa, Chordata, Mammalia, Primates, Cercopithecidae. The record is from Ensembl.
GUGCUCACUUUGGCAGCACAUAUACUAUAAUUGGAACGAUACCAAGCAGAUUAGCACGGCCCCUGCACAAGGAUGACCCUCAAAUUCGUGAAGCAUUCCAUAUUUCU